Non-coding RNA from Styela clava, 1246 nucleotides. The record is from RefSeq and is a predicted model, not a curated record. Lineage: Eukaryota; Metazoa; Chordata; Ascidiacea; Stolidobranchia; Styelidae.
UAAUAUGCUAAUAAAAUAUCCAAUCAAAUUUGAAUCACACCAGUACUACAUUCUUACAUUAGGAGAUGCGUAGAUAAAUUUCUAGAUAAGUUUCUAUACAAAAUAUCAGCAAGUAAAUUGAUUGAGGUGCGUGGAAAUCUUUACGAAAUAUGACAUAUCUCUUCAAAUGUUUGUUUACAAACUAUUUUAUUUCAAAGAACACAACUCAUUACUAAUUAAGAUUUUAUUUUCCCGUAAAAACAUAUUAAGUUCAUUUUCUUCUAUUUUCAGAUUCGCAUGUUCGUUCUCUCGACUCUCAUUAUAUCAGCGAUAGACUAUGUUGGCUUCAUUCGUAUUCACUCUAUUUUGGAUUUCUUGUUCCAGCUGGAAUUGUUUUAUGUAUUAAUGUUUUAGGAUUCUUUCUGUUACUGAGAAAAAUCUGCCGCCAUCCGCCUGAUGUAAGUACAGAGCGAUCAAAACGAUCAUGAAAUAUGGACACAUUUGAUUUGACCAUACUUACAAUAUUAUUACACCAUAUUAUGAUGCAUUUAGACGGCUCAAACUGUCUCAAUGCACAACUGCCACAAGAUUAAAAAAAUAUAUAUUAAUUAUAAUAAAACAUAAUGUUGGUGUAGCAUAUACCUAAAAGUAAAAUGAAUUCCCUUUUUUUAACUGUCAGAAAAAAAAGAUUAUUUUUGCAGCAUCAAUGCUUACACGUAUAUAUCAUUUAUUUAUAGCUUGGGCAGAGAUCCGUAAAUUUACAACUAAAAGAUCAUGUUUUUCGAAUUGCAACACUUUCUGCUGUUCUUGGCUUGACAUGGGCUUUUGCUAUACCUUUAACAACGACCGAUAAUCAACAUGUGAACUUAGUGUUCGAUUGGCUGUUUUCAUUGUUCAAUGCAUUCCAGGGAACUUUCAUCUUCUUUAUAUUCUGCGUAUGGAGGAAGGAAGUUCGUGAUGUAUGGUUGAGAGGCAUAGGGAACAGGAUCCGUUCAUCAUUGAGCCAUAAUAAAGUAAAAUCUGGAGGAAGAUCCCCAUUUCAAACAGGAACAACAACUAUGUAGCAAAAACGUUUUCCACAUAUUUCUUUUUGCUUUUAUUAUUUUUUGGCAACUUUAUACUUUAAAUCUUUGGUUUAUAUUCGCAAUAAUGCCGAUUGAAUAUUACAUAUCUUCUGUGAAUUUUAUUCUGUUUUAAAAACAAGAGAGCUAUGCUCAAAUAUAUGGACACGGCUGGCAAAACAAAAUAUCUUACCAUCAAUUCCUCC